Molecule: ribosomal RNA, 440 nt
Filed under: uncultured bacterium
Lineage: Bacteria
Description: partial 16S ribosomal RNA
Rfam family: Bacterial small subunit ribosomal RNA
Source: RNAcentral
CCUACGGGAGGCAGCAGUGAGGAAUAUUGGACAAUGGAGGAGAGCCUGAUGCAGCGACGCAGCGUGAAUGAUGAAGGACUUAGGUGUGGAAAACUCUAUCUGUAGGGGAGUAAAUGGCGGUACGUGAGUAAGAAGCCCCGGAUAACUACGUGCCAGCAGCCACUGUAAUGCGUAGGGUGCCAGCGUUAUACGGAUGUACGGGGUGUAAAGGGAGCGUAGAGGGGAGUGAAGGUGUGUAGUGAAAGGCGGCGGCUCAACCCUCGGAAUGCUAUGGAAACUGUACGGCUGGAGUGCAGUUGAGGUAAGUGGAAUUCCUGGUGUAGCGGUGAAAUGCGUAGAUAUUAGGAAGAACACCAGUUGCGAAGGCGGCUUACUGGACUGUAACUGACGUUGAUGCUCGAAAGCGUGGGGAGCAAACAGGAUUAGAUACCCCUGUAGUC